This is a long non-coding RNA of Vespa mandarinia (Asian giant hornet), 635 nucleotides long. NCBI's taxonomy places the organism in Eukaryota, Metazoa, Arthropoda, Insecta, Hymenoptera, Vespidae. The record is from RefSeq and is a predicted model, not a curated record.
GCUAAAAGGUUAAAAGAUCAUAUGCGAUAGGUAUGGCGUAGAAGGAACCAGUUGCGAGAAUGUUUUCACUUGAGCGUUGACGAAGCUGUGUUUAUUUGAUUAGAAUAACGAUAACCAUCGUCACGGAGAAGUCACAAAAAAUGCUCAAAGUGGCUAAGGUGAAAAACAAAGCACCCGAGAAAAUUUAAAUCAUAGCAAAACAGCUAUUAAGAGAAACAAAGAAAAAAAUCUUUAUGCAAUAAUGUUAAACCUAUCUAUAAUUUUACAUAGAGAACAAUUCAUUUGUAAGUAUUCCCUUUUAGCCACCUAAGCAGAAAAUAAAAUAUCCCCAUAAAUUGGCUGAUUAUCAAUAUGGAAAAUGAAAUAUCUAUGACUACAAUAUGUGUAAGAAUCAUAUGGUUAUAACGAAUCUGAUGGAAUAUGCCCGAUGGGAAAAAAGUCAGAAACAAUGCAAAGAGCAAGAUACUUUAAAUAUAAAAAAUAGUACAUUUUAUAGUUUUAGUUGUAUUAGAAAUAUUUCAAGGUUUUAUGUGUCCAAUUUAUUUUAAAUCUGUAUAUGAACGUGCGCUAGAUGUUGAUCAUAGAAACAUUACAUUAUGGCUAUAUUAUAUUGAAAUAGAAAUGCGCAAUAAUUA